AUUGAACGCUGGCGGCAUGCUUUACACAUGCAAGUCGAACGGCAGCGCGGGCUUCGGCCUGGCGGCGAGUGGCGAACGGGUGAGUAAUGCAUCGGAACGUGCCCAGUAGUGUGGGAUAGCCCGGCGAAAGCCGGAUUAAUACCGCAUACGACCUGAGGGUGCAAGCGGGGGACCGAAAGGCCUCGCGCUAUUGGAGCGGCCGAUGUCGGAUUCGCUAGUUGGUGGGGUAAAGGCUUACCAAGGCGGCGAUCCGUAGCUGGUCUGAGAGGACGACCAGCCACACUGGGACUGAGACACGGACCAGACUCCUACGGGAGGCAGCAGUGGGGAAUGUUGGACAAUGGGGGCAACCCUGAUCCAGCCAUGCCGCGUGCGAGAAGAAGGCCUUCGGUUUGUAAACCGCUUUUGUUCGGGAAGAAAUCCUCUGGGCUAAUACCCCGGGGGGAUGACGGUACCGGAAGAAUAAGCACCGGCUAACUACGUG
RNAcentral lists this ribosomal RNA (484 nucleotides) under uncultured bacterium. Its description in RNAcentral is "partial 16S ribosomal RNA". It matches the Rfam family "Bacterial small subunit ribosomal RNA", at positions 28 to 507 of the family's 1533-position model. The record is from RNAcentral.